UAAUAAAAAUAAUAUUAAUAGGGUUCACCAUCACUUCACUCUGUCGCUGUCGCCUCUCACCUCUCAAACCGCCCUCCACUGUUGUUGCCGGCGCUGCCCCCCAUUGUUGCUGCGAGAGCCGCUGAAGGCUGUCGCCCCCACCGUGGCUCAUACAAUUCCCUUCUCUUCUCGUUCUAUAGCAUCACCGAUUUCCUUCGCCUCACUCACACGAAAGUGGAAAUCCCAGUUCUCGCCGCGGCGGCGCUCUCGUCAGUCGCUGCCGUUGCCGCCUCCGUUGACAUCAGAGGUUCCUUCAACACCAAACAAAACGUAUGGUCCUAACAUGGUCUCUUCAUCUCUGAUCUUGCAUCAUGUGAUAACUACCCCCACAGAAACUUCACUACCCUUGAUCUUGAAUGUGU
Molecule: long non-coding RNA, 401 nt
Filed under: Glycine max (soybean)
Lineage: Eukaryota; Viridiplantae; Streptophyta; Magnoliopsida; Fabales; Fabaceae
Description: long non-coding RNA (GMAX_LNC001295)
Source: RNAcentral